UAGAUGCAUAAUUAAGAGUGGAGAUUAUUUUGUUAAAUCAGGGUAUUGGCUUAAUUGUCAGGUAAAUGAAAAGGAGGUGUUGCAAGAUGCGUUUUUAGCAAAGUCGGAUUAAGUCGAUUGGAAUGAAAGUUGAUGCUCUUUGUCGUGUCUAUGGUAUAGAAGGAGAAACUAUAAACCAUGUUCUUUCCAGUUGAAAGGUAAGUAUGAGCCCUUUCAAACUUUCCAUCUCCUAGAGAUGGUAUUAUAAACUUCUCAAUUUUUGACAAUAUGCAUCAUAUGAAAUGUUGGGGCGUGUCUUGGUCUUAGAAGAAACAGGUUAUUGGUGGUGCUUGAAUUUUGUGACAUGAGAAUGAUAUUUUCUUUGCACAUAGUCGUAGAGUACGUAUUUAGUAACACCUGACAGCCUUAACGAAACACAACUGCAUUUCUUUGUUGAGGGUGGUGGGGAUCGGAGUAUGUGUAGUAUUAACUAUUAAGACCUUGUUUAUAGGGGGUUCAUAGAGAAGAUCUUAGUCUUUUGGUGAAAAAAAAUAAAUCAGAAAUGAAGAAAAAUGGUAAGAUCUCCCCUUAUAUAAGAGACUGAAUCUUGGUCUAAGGAGCGAUACGUGUCGCUAUUCUAUUGGUCGAACAAAUAAAACAAAAAAUAAAAAAAAAACAUUUCCUGCUUGAUUUUUUUCUUUUUUCCUUUCUCUCUCUCUCGGUUGCGAUUGAAUCAACGAAACCAUUGAUGAAUUUGGAAUCAGAAGCUUGAAGGUUGGCUCAAUCAUUUGAAUCAAUUGGAAUCAGAAAGGGAAGUUUCUUUUUUAUUCUCUCUUUCUCUGUUUUGAAAUUGGAAUUGAAUCUGAUAUCAAUCUUUGUUUUUGGGGGCGGGUUUGAAUUUUAUGUGAAACAGAGUGAAGAUGGACGUAGAUGUUCCAGUAUCCGUAGCGUAUAAUUUCUACUUGGAUCGUGAAUCUUUUCCUUAAUGGAUGCCUUUUAUUUCAUCCGUAGAGCCUACUCCUAAUCAAAAGAUUCAUUGGAGAUCUCUUGAAGGUCUUCCUAAUAAAGAGACACACAACAGAUAACAAAGAUUACAAAUUGCAGAGGUUCUUGCUUGCUUUUUAAUUUGCAGAGGUGUUAUAACUUGAGGAUUUUAAAAUUGAUUCGCACAAGGACGCCAAAGAAAAGCAUCUUUACAAACUGAUCUUUUACAUGAGUUUAUCGUAUGAAGCAUCUUUCAAGUGUGAGUAUAUAAACACUAAAACACAUCAUCCUGUCUCUACAUUUUGUGUCAUAUCAGUUUUUUUGCUCUCUCCUUCCUUCCUUCCUUCCUCUGACUACAAGAUCCUGGUUCUUUAAAUGAUAUAAAAAUUUUCUGGAUCAUAUAUAGUUUCCUGAUAAGGUUCUUGAUUAAUGAGGGACUAGACUUCUUUUGUUAUAGUUACUUUGGUCAUUAGGAGGGGAAUGCUGGGAUACUAGACCAAUCUGCUAUGCAUUAAGUGAAUUGCGAAAAACAUGAACCGCUGAGCUGGGAUUUGAGAGUAUAUAUUGCUUUAGACGUAGCACGCGGUCUAGAGUAUCUUCACGAUGGGAGGAGAGAUCCCCGAGACUAUGGAAAUGGAACGCGGUGAUCUCUACUUCAUACGCUACAAGAUUGUUAAAGGAGCAAUCAUAUCUGGCCAAAUUGACUUGAUCUGAGCUCAGUCAUGGAUUUUUCACUCAAAUCUCUUUCCAUAGCCAUAAGUGAAAGAUAGUGCUACCAUUGUUCAUUAUGUCAUGAACCUGAUUUACUUGAGUUGUAUAGUGGAUUACAUAACAAUUCGUCUCUAAAAGUAACAAUAUUUUGAUAGGUCGAAAUGUUAAAAGAGAUCUUUUUGAGGUUUCACUCUAUUGCAGUGUAAGAUGAACCAAUUUCUUCAA
Camelina sativa (false flax) is the source of this 1899-nucleotide non-coding RNA. The record is from RefSeq and is a predicted model, not a curated record. NCBI's taxonomy places the organism in Eukaryota, Viridiplantae, Streptophyta, Magnoliopsida, Brassicales, Brassicaceae.